AAGCAGAUUUUCCGUACAAGAAAGCCAUAGGCUCUCUGUUGUAUUUAAGUUUAUUUACAAGACCCGAUAUAUCUUUUUUUGUAGGUUAUUUAUCUCGAUUCCAAGCCAAUCCACAACAGUAUCAUUGGACAUUAGUAAAAAGGGUUUUCAGAUACUUGAAAGGUACCAGUCAGUUGGGUCUAAAAUAUACAGCAGGUUCCCCAACGUUGUCAUGCUAUUGUGAUGCAGAUUUUGCAGCACAGUUAUUGGCAGAAACUGUGGGUAUCAGUUCAUUUCCUGUUGAUAUAUAUGAAGACAAUGAAGCAGCAAGACAAAACUGUCUUGCAGGUACAAGUAAAAGUCGUUUAAAAUAUAUUGCACGUAAGUAUUUAUUAAUUCGUCAACAUGUAAGUGACAAGAAAAUUAAUAUUGUGAAGAUUAAUACCAAUGAUCAGAUUGCUGACAUUCUUACAAAACCUUUAAGUGCAGCAAAGCUAAGUAAAUUUCGUAAUCACCUUGUAUUCUAUGAGGCUUGAUUUUUUCAGUUGAUUUGUAUACAAAUAACCCAAUAUGUUCUCUUUUUUUUUUCAGUUAUCUGUUGUUUAUCCAUGUAUUGUUUAACAUACUCGGAUAAUACUAUAAAAUCUGUCGAGUAGUUGUCUGUGUGGAAAGGUUCUUCGGUUCCUGGAAACAUGCUUAGACAAUACUAAAAAUCUGUUGAAUAUGUGUCUGUGUGGAAAGGUUCUUCGGUUCCUGGAAACAUGCUUAGACAAUACUAAAAAUCUGUUGUGUAUAUGUCGGAGUUUUAUUGAAAGGUUCUUCGGUUCCUGGAAAUAUACUCUAAUAAAUAUGUUUAUAUGUUAA
This is a long non-coding RNA of Harmonia axyridis, 843 nucleotides long. RefSeq lists it as uncharacterized. The record is from RefSeq and is a predicted model, not a curated record. The transcript has 2 exons. Lineage: Eukaryota; Metazoa; Arthropoda; Insecta; Coleoptera; Coccinellidae.